This 365-nucleotide transfer-messenger RNA is filed under the name Baekduia soli. RNAcentral's name for it is "Standard tmRNA". It matches the Rfam family "transfer-messenger RNA". Rfam says of the family: Bacterial tmRNA, also known as 10Sa RNA or SsrA, is named for its dual tRNA and mRNA-like properties. Its role is to liberate the mRNA from a stalled ribosome. The record is from Rfam by way of RNAcentral. Lineage: Bacteria; Bacillati; Actinomycetota; Thermoleophilia; Solirubrobacterales; Baekduiaceae.
GGGGACGACAGGCUUCGACGUGGUCGGUUCCGUAGGGAUGGUCGCGAGCCGAGGUCCCGGAGGCCUCGUAAAACACCGGGAAAACCAUACGUGCGGACUCUCACGAGUACGCCCUCGCUGCUUAGUCUCUGACUAGGUGAGUGAGGUUCCGCCCCACGCCUGCCGGCCGCGGGGUGUGCGGAAUCAGAAUGCCGGCUCACCCGGGGAGGUCCGCUCCUGCCGAACCGGGGACAUCUUCAGGGAGCUGGUCACCCGGACCCCUGUCGGCGCGGCUACCGGGUGACGAGAUCAGAGCGCCGACUACGCUCGUAGACGCCUCCACUGCGCGAUCGCGGACGCGGGUUCAAUUCCCGCCGUCUCCACCU